CCUACGGGUGGCUGCAGUGGGGGAUAUUGCACAAUGGGGGAAACCCUGAUGCAGCUACGCCGCGUGUGGGAAGACGGUCCUCUGGAUUGUAAACCACUGUCCCCAGGGACGAAGAUGACGGUACCUUGGGAGGAAGCUCCGGCUAACUACGUGCCAGCAGCCGCGGUAAUACGGAGGGAGCGAGGGUUGUCCGGAUUUCCUGGGUGUAAAGGGAGCGUAGGCGGGACUGGAAGUUGGGUGUCAAAUCUACCGUCUCAACCUGGAGACUGCACUUGAAACUGGGUGUCUUGAGGGCAGGAGAGGAAAGUGGAAUUCGUGGUGGAGCGGUGAAAUGCGUAGAUAUUAGGAGGAACACCAGUGGCGAAGGCGACUUUCUGGACUGUACCUGACGCUGAGGCGCGAAAGCGUGGGUAGCGAACGGGAUUAGAUACCCUGGUAGUC
This 441-nucleotide ribosomal RNA is filed under the name uncultured bacterium. Its description in RNAcentral is "partial 16S ribosomal RNA". It matches the Rfam family "Bacterial small subunit ribosomal RNA", at positions 338 to 795 of the family's 1533-position model. The record is from RNAcentral.